GCGCCCGGGCACCGCCUGCGCUGCGCCGCCCGGCCUCACUCCGCGGCCCGCCAGGACCCGGCCCCGGUGAACGGGCUCGGGGUGCCGAGGUCCGGCUGCGGGGCCGGGAAGCCACCUCCACCUUGCCGUCUGUUACGACCCCCGAGGCGCAAGGCUGAGCCCCAUCUCGCUAUCCGGGUCCGGAGGGGUUCACCUUAGAAGGAUUUUUUGAAGCUCUUGGCGCUGGCUCUAAAAGAACCCACUUCCUUGCGGAUUUCAGGAGUCAAGAAUCCUUAAACGGAGCCAAUUUGCUUUGUAAAGCCAAUUGCCCAAGUGACUUGAGUUCGAAAGGAGAUACUUCCUGGACAACUGCUAUAAAAACAACAACAAAUACUUUUAUUAAUUCGGGGAGCCUGGUCACCAACUGGAUGCUCAGGGGAGAUGGAACCCUGAGCAGCCCAUGUACAUGGAAGAUCUUUAUUGCAGAGAUCUUCAAACCAGAUGGCUCGCAGAGAUUGAGGAACUUGCCCAAGGCUACGCAGCUUGAUCUUCUAAGGGUGUGAGGAUACAGGCGUCAAAGACCCCGUGCUGAGACAGCUCCAUAACAACAUGCAGAUAUUUGGCAAUGAGGGUUCAGAAGAGGACUUGCUGUGGAGAAGAGAGAAAAGAGAUGGGAAGACUCUGUGAAUGAAUAGAGAACACUCUGCAAGCAUCCCAGUUCCUUUGGUUGCCCUGCAGUCUGCAGGUACCAGGAGAA
Molecule: long non-coding RNA, 736 nt
Filed under: Homo sapiens (human)
Lineage: Eukaryota; Metazoa; Chordata; Mammalia; Primates; Hominidae
Description: BAALC antisense RNA 1
Source: RNAcentral